AAGAUGGAAACCACCAAAGGAUGUGGUGCAGUGGAUGAGGCUGCUCCGCCUUUAACCAGAGGUCUCGGUUUCGAGCCAUGGGAAUGGAUAAAUCCUUGGUAAGGAGCGCUUCCCCCAAAUGGGCCCUACGCGACGCGAAUCCGGAUUAGUCGGAUUCCAAUGCGGGUACCGAACACCGGAUGAGAAAGCAAAAAAAAAAGAUGGAGAUUCACUAACAAGAGUAAUGUGUUAAGCGAUUUGUUCUAUUUCUCCUAUUUAACUACUUACAGGUUUUGAUCUAGUUGAAUGACUGUUUGGUUUAUAAAGUGAUUUCUUUUCCAUGUCAAGAUACUUUAGUUGUUCU
This 343-nucleotide long non-coding RNA is filed under the name Nicotiana benthamiana. RNAcentral's name for it is "long non-coding RNA (NBEN_LNC037804)". The record is from RNAcentral. Lineage: Eukaryota; Viridiplantae; Streptophyta; Magnoliopsida; Solanales; Solanaceae.